GCUUCGAAGUCAAAAAAUCAAAACCAGCGGUUCUGCGCGCGGCUACUGCGGCAUCCUCGCAGCGAUUUAGCUUUAACUUCCAGCGGGAUCUUUCACCUUCCUUGAUGCCAUUGAUGCUGUUCUGAUUGAUCACUUCGUUCUUCACUUAGCUUCCCUGUGUUACUACGUGGAGUGAUUUUGAGAACAAAUCUCCCUGAUAAUUGGCGAGGAUCCGAACCGUGGAUGUGGAAUUUUGAAGCUUGGGGCUCUUGCAUCAUUUUUGGAAAGAAUACGAAUUAAAAAAGGUGAUAAAUAUUUCAUUUUUGCUUGCAUGCAUGAUACUUUAGAAUUGCAAGAUGAUAGAGAGGGUUUGAAUCUGCGACAAGCUACGUGGAGUAUUUGUUUCUUGUACCAUUUUUGGGACACCCAUCUAGAUCAAUCAUAUAUUAAGAUUUUACUUCUGCUCAUUUACGCAACAUUGUGUACUUGUUUUGGAGAGUUAUCUAUCAAAAUCAGAGACUGCAAGAGGAAUGUGUUUGGAGAUAUAUAGUUAGUGACAUUUCUUGAGUCUUUUUCUUUUUGUUGGAUCCAAUGGUUGGAUUCCAAACAGAAAGUAAAUUUCCAAUCUCUUGAUACCUCUCAUCUUUAUUUGAGUGACUUUAGUUGGCACCUUCUAGGAAUGGUUGAGAAUUUAAGACAUCCUUAUUAACGCCCUCAAUAAUUGGCAUGUGAUAUUAUCACUCUGGCCAUGAUGUCGCAUUAAUGUGUGCCAAGAAUGAUUUGCGUUUUGUAUUCUGCAUGAUGUUCCUUUAAACCUUAUUGCAUCUCCUUGUUUUUAGAUGAUGGGCUUACCGCUAUAACAGUCUUGAUUAUAGUAGUGUUUUUUGCAAGUGGAUCUUUUGAGAACAUAAACAUUGAACCCGCCAAAAUCACUGACAAGAGCUUCAUGGUGUUGAAUUCAUAGUUUUGAGUUUGAUAAUUUGGUUAAAGGCAGGUCGUCAUAGAGAUAGAUAUUUGAACUAACUUUGUGCACUUUAAUUUCUAUUUUACCAGUUUAUUUUUUUUAAUUUCCAACUGGGGAACUGUAUUUGAUGUUCCUUGUAUGGUUGCUUUGGAAAACAUUACUUUCAAAAGCUUUUUUUUUAGCAACACUACCCUGGAAUAAUGUUUGGUACCUGGUAGGUGGAAUGCAAUUUGUUGAUUCAGUUUUUUCUUUGAUUUUGUACUUUUAUUACUGUUGAUAAGAAUAUAUUAAUAAAUGGAUUGUUUAUAAUUUCCACAAACAUCUAAAGUGGAUGCUUUUGCCAAAUUUUCUGUGACUCCGUUCUACAUUUGAUUGCUUUGACUUGGAUAUUCCUAUUUUAUAUCAGAUCUGUAAUAAAUACGUUGCUUCUGUUUCCAAGUCCUCUUUUUCGAUAAGUUGAAACUGUGUUCAAGUUUGGGGAGGAUUGAAGCCACAACCAAUGGUAUAGAUUCUGCUGGCCCAUGAACAGGCAUCAAAAUCUUUUCUUGAAACUUAAGCAGCAAAUCUUCUAAGAUGGUCAUAUGACUGCCUGUAAGUUUUCUAAACUAAUCCUGAAAGAUUUACUCCCUUUGUACGUAGCAUUUUUCCACAAUACUGAUGUAAAUAGUUAUUACUUUAAAAUUAACAAUUAACAUAUUUAUAACAACUUGCGGGCCAAAAUCAGAAACUCUCUGUAUCAGUCUUCUAGAGCAUGAAAUGAUAGAUAGCCCAUUAUAUUAAUAGUUAAUUGUCAGAGCAACAGGACUGCAUCGAUACUAAUCAUGCAUGCCAGUUGAGAUCAGACUCAUAUGUCUAGUCACUGUGUGCUAACCUAUCCUUCAACCGCGCCAUUUACAUGUUGCUUCUAAAGGUCUUUCAUGGGCUCUAUGCAGAAAGUGCUUUAGCAAUAACAUGACCUUUAGUUGCAUUGCAUGUUUGCAUGGAUUGCGUAGGCAUUCCUUGUGUAUCGUUUCCAGUGUUCUUUUGGAAGUUAAAAUAAAAAUUAAUGCAACAAAGUAUGUAGUGAAAGGGAAAGGUGGCACUAACAUGGUCAAAAAGGCUGGCAGAGUGAUUUGUUUACAUGCUAGUGUAAUGUGAGCCAUGAACUGGACUUGUCUUUCUUAACAAAGUCUUCAUUAAAUAUGCAUCAUGGGAAAAAAA
Molecule: long non-coding RNA, 2143 nt
Organism: Populus nigra (black poplar)
Lineage: Eukaryota; Viridiplantae; Streptophyta; Magnoliopsida; Malpighiales; Salicaceae
Exons: 2
Source: RefSeq, a predicted model, not a curated record